This 331-nucleotide long non-coding RNA is filed under the name Erythranthe guttata (spotted monkey flower). RNAcentral's name for it is "long non-coding RNA (EGUT_LNC002274)". The record is from RNAcentral. Lineage: Eukaryota; Viridiplantae; Streptophyta; Magnoliopsida; Lamiales; Phrymaceae.
CAAUUCCUGAACCAUGACCGGGAGGUGGGGGAGGUACAGCUGGUGCUGAACCUUGACCUGGAGGUGGAGGCGGUGGAACAGGACCUGAACCACGACCUGGUGGUGGAGGUGGAGCAGGAGCUGAACCACGACCUGGAGGUGGUGGAGGUGGAGCAGGAGCUGAACCACGGCCUGGAGGUGGUGGAGGUGGAGCAGGAGCUGAACCACGGCCUGGAGGUGGUGGAGGUGGUGGAGGUGCUGAACCACGACCUGGAGGUGGUGGGAGGUGGGGCCGGGGCUGAACCACGACCAGGAAGUGGAGGAGGCGGAGGUGGGGAUGGACCUGAAAGGC